This 253-nucleotide ribosomal RNA is filed under the name uncultured Gemmatimonas sp. RNAcentral describes it as "partial 16S ribosomal RNA". It matches the Rfam family "Bacterial small subunit ribosomal RNA", at positions 524 to 776 of the family's 1533-position model. The record is from RNAcentral. Lineage: Bacteria; Pseudomonadati; Gemmatimonadota; Gemmatimonadia; Gemmatimonadales; Gemmatimonadaceae.
UACGGGGGGUGCGAGCGUUGUCCGGAAUCACUGGGCGUAAAGGGCGCGUAGGUGGUUUUGUAAGUUUGUGGUGAAAGCCCGGGGCUCAACCCCGUGUCUGCCAUGGAUACUGCGAGACUAGAGUGCUGUAGGGGCUGGUAGAAUGUCGGGUGUAGCGGUGGAAUGCGUAGAGAUCCGACGGAAGACCGGUGGCGAAGGCGGCCAGCUGGGCAGCAACUGACACUGAGGCGCGACAGCGUGGGGAGCAAACAGG